This 1759-nucleotide long non-coding RNA is filed under the name Elaeis guineensis (African oil palm). RNAcentral describes it as "long non-coding RNA (EGUI_LNC069265)". The record is from RNAcentral. Lineage: Eukaryota; Viridiplantae; Streptophyta; Magnoliopsida; Arecales; Arecaceae.
AACGAAGGAAGCAGCAACUCCAGGAGAAAUGUAUUAAAAUAACCACACCUCCCUGCACUCGGCUUGCCCUACCGUGUCGUUAGAUGGUCUGAGUGGCUGUCAAAUGGGUAGCUGGCUCUCCGAACCUAUCCAUAUGGAGUCCCGUAGGAACCAGGGGACUAGCGGCCCGUCGCAACUCCGUGAGUGAAAGCCCCUCCCUCACUUCACUUCCCGAUUUUGCAAUACAGCGAAGCGUGGUUGGCAGCCGGGACCUUUCCUUACAUUUUCGGCUCUCGUCCAACCAUUCAUUCCUGGAAAUGAAACUCAAAAGAAUGCUGCCCGAGAAAGGUCAUUACAGAGAGGCAGUCAUAGAAUCGAUUUACUUUACUUGUCCACUUGGGGAGUCUCGGACGAAGGACUCAUUCCUCAGUUGCUUCUCUUUCCUCAGCCGCUUUAGCGCGCCUAGCUGACUUAGUUACAAGGGUCCCGAGACAGACAGUGGCGCCAAAAGCAUCAAUACUACAAGCUUUUUCUCAACCCCAGAGCAGGCUCAUUCCUUUGGUCCUAAUCUAGGCCUGUGUAACCUUAUUCACUCAUCCCUAAGGCUUUCAAAGCACAGACGGAGGAAGAAAUGACUCAAAAGAAGAAGGGGCAGCCCCAGUUUCAGUAUCAGUCCUAGUCCUAAGGCGCAAUCGGAGCACUAAGCCCUUCUUUCGAUUCCUCUUCUUUUUUGUCUAAUUCUUCCUUUAAACAGGCAAUUGUCCAUCAAUCCGACUAGUCUUUAGCAUUCUUUCGGGCACUGCAUUGGAAGUCCUCCACUGCUACCUUGACUGAGGCUGGACUUAUCUGAUUGUCUGAUUCAGCUAGUCUUUUUUUGCUAUUUCGAUAUCGCUCUUCCUUAUCCUCUCCAGCAGGAGUUCAAAAUCGUUGACGUGACAUCGACCAGAAUCAUUGAUGUGCAUCUAACUGAAAGCGAUCAUGCUCAACCUCCUCGAUUACAGUCAACUGGGAACUCAUCGAUGAAUAGGGCAUACGGCGUGACAAUCUGUUGACAUACUAUACUAGUUUACGACGCUAUCACAUACACAUUUCCCUUUUUAUACCUCUACAAUACAAAGAAAUUAGAGAAAGAGAAUCAUUUCACCGAUAGCAAUGAGAGUCACUUUGCCUGGACUUCCCAAUCAAACACGGACAACGGCUACCAACAGUGAAAGAGUGGAACUCGUAUACUCCACUUCUUGUUAGUUAAGUAGAGAAGGCUACCGGCCCUGCCAUCUUGCUUUACAGACCGACCGCUGGAACUGAUCUUUCUUAUGUAAUAUUGCCGGGUCGGCUACCUCAUCUCUCUUAUCACGGAAUCUUCUUAUACGUUGAUACACGAGUUGGACUCCAGUAUGCCAAUCUAAGUCAGAAGACUGAGUCUCAGAGUCAGUCAAGAGUCCUUCCAUACCGAGAUUGAAGGUCAGAUCGAUGAGAUCGCUCAGUCGCAGUGGAGUUGUUUGGAGUUUCCUUGGUAGACAAUAGAGAGCCAAAUCAGACUCGUGAGGUCGGUGAACUAGGUGGAAAGUGCAGGUCAGCGCUGUGGAGAUAGAAAGGCUGAUGGAUGGAUCCUUCCACUGUCUUUGAACCGAGACUAGGCAAUUGAGAAGACCAUAGCAUAGAGAGCAUAGAAAAGCCUCUCUCUCAUCCACUUUGAGCUCAAUAAACAGCAGCUGGGCGUCAAUCGGUGCAUCUUUCGCUUCCAAAGUCUUCGUCUUUGCCCAUUUUGCACUUAUCUUCU